AGUUGGUCCGCUACUGGUGGGUUAUCAUUGUAUUGUGCUUUCCCUCCCACCACUACCAUUGACUAGCUUUCU
This is a Y RNA of Gopherus evgoodei (Goodes thornscrub tortoise), 72 nucleotides long. It matches the Rfam family "Y RNA". From Rfam's summary of the family: Y RNAs are components of the Ro ribonucleoprotein particle (Ro RNP), in association with Ro60 and La proteins. The Y RNAs and Ro60 and La proteins are well conserved, but the function of the Ro RNP is not known. The record is from Ensembl. NCBI's taxonomy places the organism in Eukaryota, Metazoa, Chordata, Testudines, Testudinidae.